AAUGGGCGAAAGCCUGACGCAGCAACGCCGCGUGGGUGAUGAAGGUCUUCGGAUCGUAAAACCCUGUCGUCGGGGACGAAGGUUGUAUGCCUAACAGGUGUGCAAUUUGACGGUACCCGGAGAGGAAGCCCCGGCUAACUCUGUGCCAGCAGCCGCGGUAAUACAGAGGGGGCAAGCGUUAUUCGGAAUUAUUGGGCGUAAAGGGCGCGUAGGCGGUUUUUUAAGUCAGAUGUGUAAUCCCCGAGCUCAACUUGGGAACUGCAUCUGAGACUGGAAGGCUAGAGUACUGGAGAGGGUGGUAGAAUUCCACGUGUAGCGGUGAAAUGCGUAGAGAUGUGGAGGAAUACCAGUGGCGAAGGCGGCCACCUGGACAGUAACUGACGCUGAGGCGCGAAAGUGUGGGUAGCAAA
Molecule: ribosomal RNA, 410 nt
Filed under: uncultured bacterium
Lineage: Bacteria
Description: bacterial SSU rRNA
Rfam family: Bacterial small subunit ribosomal RNA
Source: RNAcentral